ACAACCCCUUAGUAUUUUGGAUUUUUUGCGUACAUCGUGGUUUAUUUUCAGUAAAUCUAAUUGUAUUCAACAAUGGCUACAUGUUCUGUGAGUGAUUGUGGUGUUAAUAAUAGAAAUAAUCCUGAAAAUUGCACAUUUCACAGGUAAAUACCAAAAUCGUCAUCACUACCAUGACCCGUUUAUUUUUGGUUAAAAUUGGUCUUUUAUCCUGUAUUAAAUAUAAAAUAAUGCCAAUGCUGAUGUUUACUUUCAUAUUUUGUGUAUGUGGAAGUCCAUUUGUUAAUAAUUUACAUGAUUUUAGUGGAUAUAUUUUUCAUCAAUUUAUUUUACAUGUACGCUAGGGAUUGACUCAAAUUAAUCGAUAUCAUUAUCGAUAUUUUAUCUUGAAUGAUACCUAUGAAAAUAAAUGCUAGCUUGCGUUUAACGUCUCGUAUCAGAACCAUUUUGUCAGGGCAAGGUAGGUACAUCUUUUAACAAAUACAUAAACUAAUUA
Plutella xylostella (diamondback moth) is the source of this 493-nucleotide long non-coding RNA. RefSeq lists it as uncharacterized. Lineage: Eukaryota; Metazoa; Arthropoda; Insecta; Lepidoptera; Plutellidae. The record is from RefSeq and is a predicted model, not a curated record.